CCUACGGGAGGCAGCAGUGGGGAAUAUUGGUCAAUGGACGCAAGUCUGAACCAGCCAUGCCGCGUGCAUGAAGACGGCUUUCUGAGUUGUAAGCUGUUUCUGUACGGGGGAAAACGCGGAUACGUGUGUCCGUCUGAAAGUAUCGUACGAAUAAGGAGCGGCUAACUCCGUGCCAGCACCCGCGGUAAUACGGAGGAUUCAAGCGUUAUCCGGAUUUAUUGGGUUUAAAGGGUGCGUAGGCGGUCGGAUAAGUUAGAGGUGAAAUCCCGGGGCUCAACUUCGGAAGUGCCUGUGAUACUGGUCGGCUGGAGUGUAGUAGAGGUAGGUGGAAUUGAUGGUGUAGCGGUGAAAUGCUUAGAGAUCA
Molecule: ribosomal RNA, 364 nt
Filed under: uncultured bacterium
Lineage: Bacteria
Description: partial 16S ribosomal RNA
Rfam family: Bacterial small subunit ribosomal RNA
Source: RNAcentral